This 464-nucleotide ribosomal RNA is filed under the name uncultured organism. Its description in RNAcentral is "bacterial SSU rRNA". It matches the Rfam family "Bacterial small subunit ribosomal RNA", at positions 28 to 507 of the family's 1533-position model. The record is from RNAcentral.
GAUGAACGCUGGCGGCGUGCCUAACACAUGCAAGUCGAACGAUGAAACCGCCCUCGGGCGGACAUGAAGUGGCGAACGGGUGAGUAACACGUGACCGACCUGCCCCCCGCCCAGGGACAGCCCCCCGAAAGGGGGAUUAAUACCUGGUACUCCGGGAGCGGCGCAUGCCGCAUCCGGGAAAGCUCUCGCGGCGGGGGAUGGGGUCGCGGCCCAUCAGGUAGACGGCGGGGUAGAGGCCCACCGUGCCGACGACGGGUAGCCGGGUUGAGAGACCGACCGGCCACAUUGGGACUGAGAUACGGCCCAGACUCCUACGGGAGGCAGCAGUGGGGAAUUUUGCGCAAUGGGGGCAACCCUGACGCAGCAACGCCGCGUGCGGGACGAAGGCGUCCGCGUCGUAAACCGCUUUCAGCGGGGAACACCUAACGAGGGUACCCGCAGAAGAAGCCCCGGCUAAAUACGUG